GCGGAAAUAGCUCAGUUGGUAGAGCACAACCUUGCCCAGGUUGGGGUCGCGGGUCCGAGUCCCGUUUUCCGCU
This 73-nucleotide transfer RNA is filed under the name Prevotella sp. Its description in RNAcentral is "tRNA-Gly". It matches the Rfam family "tRNA". Rfam says of the family: Transfer RNA (tRNA) molecules are approximately 80 nucleotides in length. The record is from RNAcentral. Lineage: Bacteria; Pseudomonadati; Bacteroidota; Bacteroidia; Bacteroidales; Prevotellaceae.